UACGUAGGGUGCGAGCGUUAAUCGGAAUUACUGGGCGUAAAGCGUGCGCAGGCGGUUUUGCAAGUCAGAUGUGAAAGCCCCGGGCUCAACCUGGGAACUGCGUUUGAAACUGCAAGGCUAGAGUAUGGGAGAGGGAGGUAGAAUUCCACGUGUAGCAGUGAAAUGCGUAGAGAUGUGGAGGAAUACCAAUGGCGAAGGCAGCCUCCUGGCCUAAUACUGACGCUCAUGCACGAAAGCGUGGGGAGCAAACAGC
RNAcentral lists this ribosomal RNA (253 nucleotides) under uncultured Methylobacillus sp. RNAcentral describes it as "partial 16S ribosomal RNA". It matches the Rfam family "Bacterial small subunit ribosomal RNA", at positions 524 to 776 of the family's 1533-position model. The record is from RNAcentral. Lineage: Bacteria; Pseudomonadati; Pseudomonadota; Betaproteobacteria; Nitrosomonadales; Methylophilaceae.